CCUUACACAUGGCAAGUCGAACGGCAGCACGGGUGCUUGCACCUGGUGGCGAGUGGCGAACGGGUGAGUAAUACAUCGGAACAUGUCCUGUAGUGGGGGAUAGCCCGGCGAAAGCCGGAUUAAUACCGCAUACGAUCUACGGAUGAAAGCGGGGGACCUUCGGGCCUCGCGCUAUAGGGUUGGCCGAUGGCUGAUUAGCUAGUUGGUGGGGUAAAGGCCUACCAAGGCGACGAUCAGUAGCUGGUCUGAGAGGACGACCAGCCACACUGGGACUGAGACACGGCCCAGACUCCUACGGGAGGCAGCAGUGGGGAAUUUUGGACAAUGGGCGAAAGCCUGAUCCAGCAAUGCCGCGUGUGUGAAGAAGGCCUUCGGGUUGUAAAGCACUUUUGUCCGGAAAGAAAUCCUUGGCUCUAAUACAGUCGGGGGAUGACGGUACCGGAAGAAUAAGCACCGGCUAACUACGUGCCAGCAGCCGCGGUAAUACGUAGGGUGCAAGCGUUAAUCGGAAUUACUGGGCGUAAAGCGUGCGCAGGCGGUUUGCUAAGACCGAUGUAAAUCCCCGGGCUCAACCUGGGAACUGCAUUGGUACUGGCAGGCUAGAGUAC
This 608-nucleotide ribosomal RNA is filed under the name Burkholderia cepacia. Its description in RNAcentral is "bacterial SSU rRNA". It matches the Rfam family "Bacterial small subunit ribosomal RNA", at positions 47 to 649 of the family's 1533-position model. Lineage: Bacteria; Pseudomonadati; Pseudomonadota; Betaproteobacteria; Burkholderiales; Burkholderiaceae. The record is from RNAcentral.